Long non-coding RNA from Cyprinus carpio (common carp), 1772 nucleotides. Lineage: Eukaryota; Metazoa; Chordata; Actinopteri; Cypriniformes; Cyprinidae. The record is from Ensembl.
UUUAAUAAAAUAAUUACUUUACGGUUUCAAUGUAAUAUUAUUUGAUAUUUAUAACAAUAUUUAUAUAAAUAAUAUUUUUUCAUGGAAAUGUAUACUGUAUAUUAGUGUUUUAUACCACUUUUUAUACCUCUACUAAUGUUACUAUUUAUGUUGCUAGUAUGUUACUAACAUUCCAUCCAGGUGUUUUAAUGUAUGUUUUCAGUGUGCUGUGAUUUGACAUGCACAAUAUCACAUGCUUAAUGUUACAGAUAAUAUCCACAUUUCCCAUGUUAACACUGCUGUGUAAGAUUCAUGGAUAGUAUUCCUCUUUAUUUAUAAACAGACCUCCAGGUUUCAGCAGGGACAGGCCCCACACACACCCCAGAGACAGAGGCAUCGGAAAAGAGCAAAGGGUCCCGAGGGGCUGUGGACCAACACAGAGCCAGCACCAUAAUUCAAUGCGACCCACCCUAAACUACAGCUCAGGGUGUGGAGGACACCUCUCUAGCAGCAACAAUCACAGCAGCCAGUCACACAGGUUUGGGGGUCCACAUCAGCAGCAGCGUCCCACUGGGCGUCCCCCACAGACCCAGGGAGACAAAUGGACACAGUCAACUCAGUCCAGGACAUUCCAAGGGCCCUCUCUCAAACGCCCAGCUCCUCCUCACAAUAUGUCACCACCACACCGGGAUCCAUCCCCUUCACGAGAUGACUGUCCCAGCAAGAGAAGCAGGAGCAUCAGUUCACAUCAGGAGUCCAGUCAUUCUGUCAUGAGAGAUCACAGACCAUAUUCCAUCCCAUCACCACCGAACAGUGCCCCAAGCCAGGGCCUCCAUAGCAAGAAACCCACCAAACAGGGGCAACCCAAUCAUCCGGUCCGAGAUCAUCCAGGCCCCAAUCCCCAUGGGGCCAAAGGGGGCUGGGAUUGCCCAUCACCAGCAAACCUCACCAGUGUGCCUUACAGUCAGCAGCACCAGCUCCCUCCACCACAGAGGCACACCGGCCCCUACAGCAGCCCAGACACCUCAGUACCUCAGCCCAGAUUCAACACAGCACAGCCUGGCUGGAAAACACAGAGAAAACAUGGCAGUAGUAGUGUGAGUAAAUGAAGAAAGAAUUUUCAUUUCUGGGUCAACUAUUCCUUUCAAUAUAAUGCCCAAUGUUCAAAGAACUAGUCUCAGCCUCAGACAACUCACCCACAGACUGUAUAAGUGGGCGUUCUUGACCAGAAUAAGCUCUUAGACUUAAUAUCAGUAGUCAAAAGUCUAUCAAGGCUUCUGCAAGGCUAUCAAUUAAAUAUCAAGUCCAUAUAAAUUAUCAGUGACAGCCAAACAUUACAUUUCAGAAAGGAAUUCAAAUAUAUUGAGCUGCUCUUAUGUAUUAGUAUAAACUUGUGAAAUGUUCGGCAUUUGUUUCUCUCAAGAGCUCCCUCAGCAAACUGGAGACUGAACUCUUGAAACACAUUCAAGCCAAGAGGAGGCACAAGGAGCGUUUAAGGAGGGAGAAAAAGAAAGAAGGAGAGCUGUUAGACACAAGAGAACGGAUGGAGAAAACAAUGGAGGACAAGAAAAAGAAAAAGAUGAGGGAUGGAAGAAAGGGGCAUGAUAAGAAGAACAUACACCAAAAUGGCCAACAGUUGGGACAGAUAACAAGAAGAGCAAAGGAUGAGGGGAAAAAAGGAAUGUAUGAAGACAGGAAGAGUGAGACGCCUUCGAAAUCAGCAUCUCCCAAUUUAGGAACAUUGUAUCCCAGUGAUUCUGAACCUCUCCUGGAUGACCUACUGUUUGAGCCAC